This is a non-coding RNA of Taeniopygia guttata (zebra finch), 495 nucleotides long. Lineage: Eukaryota; Metazoa; Chordata; Aves; Passeriformes; Estrildidae. The record is from RefSeq and is a predicted model, not a curated record.
CGCAUCCAUUUCCUGCAGGAGGAGAAACAGAGCUCCCUGCAGAUUUGGAGUUCUUGCCAGAGCAGCCCAAAGGGGUUUCAUGGUUCCUCUGCUUCCAUUCACUGAAAAAGUGCCCAAAACCUCCCGUGCCCAGCACAGCAGCUCCCCUGACAGCAGUGGGCAGGGACAGGUGGAGCAUCAGCCCAAACUUUCUUGCACAAGGACAAACGAGGAGCAAAAAGGAACCUCCCUUCUUUCCCGUGGAGUGGAGUCUGCAAUCAUGCAGCCAAGGCAGAGGAACAAGCCCUUGUCAGUCUGUAUGCACAGCCUGGCUGGCAGAGCUCAUUUUCCUUAACAUGCCUAAUCCCACAAGUAUGUGGUGGCUUGCUCUGCAGAAACCUCAAGCUUUUCAGAAAAUGAGACCUGAAUUAUUCUUUGCUGUGGCAGACAUGCAGUCCUUGCUCCCCAGCAGAGUGACCUGUGGAUGCUGAGCUUCCACACAGAAGGUUUGGGAAG